RNAcentral lists this non-coding RNA (232 nucleotides) under Streptomyces sp. H-KF8. RNAcentral's name for it is "Streptomyces sRNA 4677". It matches the Rfam family "Streptomyces sRNA 4677". Rfam says of the family: Located in the intergenic region between anti-sigma factor SCO4677 gene and a putative regulatory protein gene SCO4676. scr4677 expression requires the SCO4677 activity and scr4677 sRNA itself seem to affect the levels of the SCO4676-associated transcripts. Lineage: Bacteria; Bacillati; Actinomycetota; Actinomycetes; Kitasatosporales; Streptomycetaceae. The record is from Rfam by way of RNAcentral.
GGGUCCGGUGGGCCGCUGACCUCCUAAAAGAACCGGGGGAAAGAACUACCCGCCCACCCACCCUCCCCGCCGGAGAGGCCGCGUCACUCGUGCGGGUGACCGGCUUGCAGGUGCGGGAUUCGGGCGGUUACGUUCACCGCGACAAGCUCGACAACCGCAAACAGAUACGGCCCCCGGCCGGGAGUGGCUUCCCGAACGAGGGCCUCACCGAUCAGGAAGCUAGACCUUCCCA